This 253-nucleotide ribosomal RNA is filed under the name uncultured bacterium. RNAcentral's name for it is "partial 16S ribosomal RNA". It matches the Rfam family "Bacterial small subunit ribosomal RNA", at positions 524 to 776 of the family's 1533-position model. The record is from RNAcentral.
UACGUAGGGUGCGAGCGUUGUCCGGAAUUAUUGGGCGUAAAGAGCUUGUAGGCGGUUUGUCGCGUCUGCUGUGAAAAUCCGGGGCUCAACCCCGGACUUGCAGUGGGUACGGGCAGACUGGAGUGUGGUAGGGGAGACUGGAAUUCCUGGUGCAGCGGUGGAAUGCGCAGAUAUCAGGAGGAACACCGGCGGCGAAGGCGGCACUCUGGGCCGGUACUGACGCUGAGGAGCGAAAGCGUGGGUAGCAAACAGG